GACGAACGCUGGCGGCGUGCUUAACACAUGCAAGUCGAACGGAAAGGCCCUGCUUUUGUGGGGUGCUCGAGUGGCGAACGGGUGAGUAACACGUGAGUAACCUGCCCUUGACUUUGGGAUAACUUCAGGAAACUGGGGCUAAUACCGGAUAGGAGCUCCUGCUGCAUGGUGGGGGUUGGAAAGUUUCGGCGGUUGGGGAUGGACUCGCGGCUUAUCAGCUUGUUGGUGGGGUAGUGGCUUACCAAGGCUUUGACGGGUAGCCGGCCUGAGAGGGUGACCGGCCACAUUGGGACUGAGAUACGGCCCAGACUCCUACGGGAGGCAGCAGUGGGGAAUAUUGCACAAUGGGCGGAAGCCUGAUGCAGCAACGCCGCGUGCGGGAUGACGGCCUUCGGGUUGUAAACCGCUUUCGCCUGUGACGAAGCGUGAGUGACGGUAAUGGGUAAAGAAGCACCGGCUAACUACGUGCCAGCAGCCGCGGUGAUACGUAGGGUGCGAGCGUUGUCCGGAUUUAUUGGGCGUAAAGGGCUCGUAGGUGGUUGAUCGCGUCGGAAGUGUAAUCUUGGGGCUUAACCCUGAGCGUGCUUUCGAUACGGGUUGACUUGAGGAAGGUAGGGGAGAGUGGAAUUCCUGGUGGAGCGGUGGAAUGCGCAGAUAUCAGGAGGAACACCAGUGGCGAAGGCGGUUCUCUGGGCCUUUCCUGACGCUGAGGAGCGAAAGCGUGGGGAGCGAACAGGCUUAGAUACCCUGGUAGUCCACGCUGUAAACGGUGGGUACUAGGUGUGGGGUCCAUUCCACGGGUUCCGUGCCGUAGCUAACGCUUUAAGUACCCCGCCUGGGGAGUACGGCCGCAAGGCUAAAACUCAAAGGAAUUGACGGGGCCCCGCACAAGCGGCGGAGCAUGCGGAUUAAUUCGAUGCAACGCGUAGAACCUUACCUGGGUUUGACAUGGAUCGGGAGUGCUCAGAGAUGGGUGUGCCUCUUUUGGGGUCGGUUCACAGGUGGUGCAUGGCUGUCGUCAGCUCGUGUCGUGAGAUGUUGGGUUAAGUCCCGCAACGAGCGCAACCCUUGUUCACUGUUGCCAGCACGUUAUGGUGGGGACUCAGUGGAGACCGCCGGGGUCAACUCGGAGGAAGGUGGGGAUGACGUCAAGUCAUCAUGCCCCUUAUGUCCAGGGCUUCACGCAUGCUACAAUGGCUGGUACAGAGAGUGGCGAGCCUGUGAGGGUGAGCGAAUCUCGGAAAGCCGGUCUCAGUUCGGAUUGGGGUCUGCAACUCGACCUCAUGAAGUCGGAGUCGCUAGUAAUCGCAGAUCAGCAACGCUGCGGCGAAUACGUUCCCGGGGCU
RNAcentral lists this ribosomal RNA (1346 nucleotides) under uncultured bacterium. RNAcentral describes it as "partial 16S ribosomal RNA". It matches the Rfam family "Bacterial small subunit ribosomal RNA", at positions 28 to 1381 of the family's 1533-position model. The record is from RNAcentral.